This 84-nucleotide non-coding RNA is filed under the name human gut metagenome. RNAcentral's name for it is "S10-Clostridia ribosomal protein leader". It matches the Rfam family "S10-Clostridia ribosomal protein leader". The record is from RNAcentral.
UGAUAGCGUUGAAGCGCGAGGUUGCUGCCACUGUAUUGGCAGGUUUUCCGUGGAGCGAAUGUCAAGUUAGGAAACUGGCGACAA